UGGGGAAUAUUGGACAAUGGGCGCAAGCCUGAUCCAGCCAUGCCACGUGUGUGAAGAAGGCCUUAUGGUUGUAAAGCACUUUAAGCGAGGAGGAGGCUACUUUAGUUAAUACCUAGAGAUAGUGGACGUUACUCGCAGAAUAAGCACCGGCUAACUCUGUGCCAGCAGCCGCGGUAAUACAGAGGGUGCAAGCGUUAAUCGGAUUUACUGGGCGUAAAGCGCGCGUAGGCGGCUAAUUAAGUCAAAUGUGAAAUCCCCGAGCUUAACUUGGGAAUUGCAUUCGAUACUGGUUAGCUAGAGUGUGGGAGAGGAUGGUAGAAUUCCAGGUGUAGCGGUGAAAUGCGUAGAGAUCUGGAGGAAUACCGAUGGCGAAGGCAGCCAUCUGGCCUAACACUGACGCUGAGGUGCGAAAGCAUGGGGAGCAAACAGG
RNAcentral lists this ribosomal RNA (430 nucleotides) under Pseudomonadota bacterium. Its description in RNAcentral is "Proteobacteria bacterium partial 16S ribosomal RNA". It matches the Rfam family "Bacterial small subunit ribosomal RNA", at positions 355 to 776 of the family's 1533-position model. Lineage: Bacteria; Pseudomonadati; Pseudomonadota. The record is from RNAcentral.